Molecule: non-coding RNA, 76 nt
Organism: Dallia pectoralis (Alaska blackfish)
Lineage: Eukaryota; Metazoa; Chordata; Actinopteri; Esociformes; Umbridae
Source: the annotation of a GenBank genome assembly
GAAGCAGUUGGUAGCUCAGUGGUGGAGUGCAUGCUUUGUAUGUGCGACGGUCUGGGUUCAAAUCCCAGCUGCUUCC